UUGCCCCCGACCUCCCCUCUCCUCCCCGAGCUCCUCCUCCCCCGAUUCCGGCUAUCGCGCCCCGAAACCCUCUCGGAAACCGUCGCCCCCGACCUCCCCUCCCCCGAUUCCGGCUGCCCGCGUGUGGAUUGGGUACCCCUCUGCCCCGGAUCGUCGCCCUCGCCCGGCAUCAGCGUCCGUCUCCGUGUUGUGGCGUCCGCAGUCUCCAUGGAAGGCGAUCUCGCGCGUGGAUUAGGUACCCCUCUGCCCCGGAAGGUGUCGAGGCUCUCCUACCCCUCUGCUGGCGCCAGCACCGCCCAUUCGGGACCACGCGCAGCCCUCACCACGGCCCCUUGCGAAUUCUCAGAUCUGAGGCCACCGACGGAUCUAGAGGUGACAACGAUUUCCCCGAGUUCAAGCGCCAUUGACCGCAGCAAGACCUGA
Molecule: unclassified non-coding RNA, 423 nt
Filed under: Zea mays
Lineage: Eukaryota; Viridiplantae; Streptophyta; Magnoliopsida; Poales; Poaceae
Description: misc RNA Zm00001eb265190
Source: RNAcentral